Molecule: unclassified non-coding RNA, 284 nt
Filed under: Hevea brasiliensis (rubber tree)
Lineage: Eukaryota; Viridiplantae; Streptophyta; Magnoliopsida; Malpighiales; Euphorbiaceae
Source: RNAcentral
GGGGUUCUGUCACCUGAGGUUGGAUGUUGCCAACGUACACACUGCGGCAUGUACUUGAAUCAAAGCCAGGAGGCAAAUUCCCACUCAAGAUAGGCUCUAUCUGGGGAGCAGCUAGAAGAGCAGGAUGGGGGUACUGCAUUAUGGUCUGUUGCUUCAGCCUCUGAUGCUGCAUCAUCUAUCUACCACUAAAAGAUACGAUCACAGAAACCCCAAAGGGCUUUGGUGUUGGUCGUGAUGAUGAGAAAAAAAAAUAAUAAUUCGAGGGUAAGGGUUUCGGAAAGAGG